CAGUAGCCGCGGUAAUACGUAGGGUGCAAGCGUUAUCCGGAAUUAUUGGGCGUAAAGAGCUCGUAGGCGGUUUGUCGCGUCUGCUGUGAAAACUGGAGGCUCAACCUCCAGCCUGCAGUGGGUACGGGCAGACUAGAGUGCGGUAGGGGAGAUUGGAAUUCCUGGUGUAGCGGUGGAAUGCGCAGAUAUCAGGAGGAACACCGAUGGCGAAGGCAGAUCUCUGGGCCGUAACUGACGCUGAGGAGCGAAAGCGUGGGGAGCGAACAGGAUUAGAUACCCCCGUAGUCCCUGUCUCUUAUAC
Molecule: ribosomal RNA, 301 nt
Filed under: uncultured bacterium
Lineage: Bacteria
Description: partial 16S ribosomal RNA
Rfam family: Bacterial small subunit ribosomal RNA
Source: RNAcentral